GGGGGUGUGGUGGAAUGGUAGACGCGACAGACUUAAAAUCUGUUAUCCGUAACGGAUGUGCGAGUUCAAGUCUCGCCACCCCCA
Molecule: transfer RNA, 84 nt
Filed under: Chamaesiphon minutus PCC 6605
Lineage: Bacteria; Bacillati; Cyanobacteriota; Cyanophyceae; Gomontiellales; Chamaesiphonaceae
Also listed under: 2 other names
Description: tRNA-Leu (TAA) (tRNA-Leu-TAA-1-1)
Rfam family: tRNA
About the family: Transfer RNA (tRNA) molecules are approximately 80 nucleotides in length. Their secondary structure includes four short double-helical elements and three loops (D, anti-codon, and T loops). Further hydrogen bonds mediate the characteristic L-shaped molecular structure. tRNAs have two regions of fundamental functional importance: the anti-codon, which is responsible for specific mRNA codon recognition, and the 3' end, to which the tRNAs corresponding amino acid is attached (by aminoacyl-tRNA synthetases). tRNAs cope with the degeneracy of the genetic code in two manners: having more than one tRNA (with a specific anti-codon) for a particular amino acid; and 'wobble' base-pairing, i.e. permitting non-standard base-pairing at the 3rd anti-codon position.
Source: Rfam by way of RNAcentral